AUGGCAAUUGAGCCAUCCAAAGAAUCUGGUGCAAUGAAAGAAUUCAAAACAAAUAUCAGGAUACGUGAACGGGUAGUCUGGAAUCGUAGCUGGACCAAUUGGAGAAGCCGUGGAGCACCAGUAAAAGGGGUUGGAGGAGGAAAAUUAGGAGGACAGGGAUCAGGAGGAUCAGUCUCUGGAGAAAAUGGUAGUGGCGGAGGUGAGAAAAACGAAAGUGGAAAAGAUAGAGGAAGUGAACCGAUGGAAGAGGAAGAUGAGAAAAUUUAA
Molecule: non-coding RNA, 267 nt
Organism: Vicia faba (fava bean)
Lineage: Eukaryota; Viridiplantae; Streptophyta; Magnoliopsida; Fabales; Fabaceae
Source: the annotation of a GenBank genome assembly